AGAGUUUGAUCCUGGCUCAGGAUGAACGCUGACAGAAUGCUUAACACAUGCAAGUCAACUCGAACUUCGGUUUGGGUGGCGGACGGGUGAGUAACACGUAAAGAACUUGCCUUACAGUCUGGGACAACAUUUGGAAACGAAUGCUAAUACUGGAUAUUAUGUUUUUUUCGCAUGAAGGAGACAUGAAAGCUAUAAGCGCUGUAAGAGAGCUUUGCGUCCCAUUAGCUAGUUGGAGAGGUAACGGCUCACCAAGGCGAUGAUGGGUAGCCGGCCUGAGAGGGUGAUCGGCCACAUUGGAACUGAGACACGGUCCAAACUCCUACGGGAGGCAGCAGUGGGGAAUAUUGCACAAUGGGCGAAAGCCUGAUGCAGCAACGCCGCGUGAACGAUGAAGGUCUUCGGAUCGUAAAGUUCUGUUGCAGGGGAAGAUAAUGACGGUACCCUGUGAGGAAGCCCCGGCUAACUACGUGCCAGCAGCCGCGGUAAUACGUAGGGGGCUAGCGUUAUCCGGAUUUACUGGGCGUAAAGGGUGCGUAGGUGGUCCAUCAAGUCGGUGGUUAAAGGCUACGGCUCAACCGUAGUAAGCCUCCGAAACUGUUGGACUUGAGUGCAGGAGAGGAAAGUGGAAUUCCCAGUGUAGCGGUGAAAUGCGUAGAUAUUGGGAGGAACACCAGUAGCGAAGGCGGCUUUCUGGACUGCAACUGACACUGAGGCACGAAAGCGUGGGUAGCAAACAGGAUUAGAUACCCUGGUAGUCCACGCUGUAAACGAUGAGUACUAGGUGUCGGGGGUUACCCCCCUCGGUGCCGCAGCUAACGCAUUAAGUACUCCGCCUGGGGAGUACGCACGCAAGUGUAAAACUCAAAGGAAUUGACGG
Molecule: ribosomal RNA, 877 nt
Filed under: uncultured bacterium
Lineage: Bacteria
Description: bacterial SSU rRNA
Rfam family: Bacterial small subunit ribosomal RNA
Source: RNAcentral